AAAGCUCUUACACCUACCUCCCCAGUCCUGUUCUAACAUGUACCUACUUGUGUCUUGACAGGGUCAUGAGAUGCAGCGAAGUCUCAGUGUUUUCCGCCAUUGACUGUCCCUGCAAUUAGCCAUUAUGCUACUGUGUGUGAAAUACUUUACRCCCGCGUUCUGCUACACUUAAGAAUUGUCUUAGCCCAUGCAAAAUACCUGUGCAAGUGCAAAUGGUCUGUGGAAGAUAAGAGCAAAUGACUACUGGCCACCAGGAUCAGAACAAGGCUAAUGGCAGUCAAACAGAAACAAGGCUGAUACUAACUUAAGUGAAACACUCUUCACUACAGGGUAGUGAAGGAGGAUUUGUGUGUGCCCCUUGUCCAUCAGUGACCGUGUCAAGAUGAGCAUCAUUUUUACCCCAAUGAAGGAAGGACUAAGCUGUUCAACUGACGGAAAAUCAGGCUGAGCAGUGGCUGGCAUCACUCCAGCGCUGGUUCAAAGUGAACUCCAUUCAGGCUGUUUCACACUCUCUUUUUGUUAAGAGAGCUCAAUUUGCUGUGCUCAAAUCAUGGGACCCAAACCAGGAAAGAAAACAGAGGUUAUUUGAAGUCUGAACAUAACCAGAGUAAUUGGAAAGCACCCCUCUAAGCAAGGAAGACCAGGUGAGUGUCUCUGCUCAGCCUCGUGUAAUUUAGUCAUCUGUGCUGGCUGCCAAAAAGUGGAUUUCAUCACCUCCUUGUUAGGAAAACGCAUCUUCUCUGCGCAGCAUGUAAGACCGCCUUUGAGCUGCUACACAGAGGAACGGUCCCCUAGGGGAAGUCAUCCUGGUCAGCAGCACAGAAGGGCAGGCACAGACACAGAGCAGCGUGUAACAGCUGCAUGCAACUGCRCUCGCAGCACUGUGCGCUUUGAGGUGUGUCCUGGGGCCAAGGCACAGUCGGGGAGGGCAACAGGGAAGCAGUUUGGGGCAGGACAAUGUUCAGCUCAACCCAGAAGCAAACCGCAGCUGUGUGUCAGGCUCCUCAGUUCCUGUCCUGUCCCUCCUCCCCGUUGGGGAGUAGCUGCAUUUCAGAGUGCAUUUCACCUGAUCUCAACCCAAAUGCUGCUUGGUGAGUUUGACUUUGAACUGCUCAAAAAGGCAUACUAAGCUGUGGUGAAGAAGGGUUGAACGCGAGGUGAACUCCAUUCCUUCAGGCUGAAUAACGUGUCAGUUCUGUUUCAUGAGUCAAGGUGCAAAUAGUAAUUGGUCUUAAACUGGUCAAUGGUGUGAACUGUUUAUAACUCUGCCCAUCCAGGCUCUUCCGCAGGUGCGGUUUGGCAGAGAGCAGAACCCCUCUCUCCUCCUCCUGCUAGCAUUGCAUGUUGUGGUCACACUGUCCGUGUCUCUGCAUCCUGUUCUCCCCCGCUGUCUUAUUGGGGUGAUCUCAAAGCAUGCCAGUCACGAGUUAAUGCAGUCCUCAUCCACCUUCUGGAAGUUAGAGUCAAAUUAGUUUUUCCAGCUGAAGUGGCUGAGAUAGAUGCAGGCAAGACACUGUGACUAAGAACACACAACAAGACGAUGGCAGCAGGGCAAACAGAAUUCAAGUCCUGAUGUCCAGGUGUUUUUCAGACCCUCUUUCCUUGCUUGUAACUGUAUUAAACCUGCCAGCCUCUUGUACUAAGUACGUCUCAUCAGUAGGUAUCAAAGCACUUCACAAAGGAAGCUGAUAAGAAUUUGUCCCCAUUUUAAAAUGUGAAACUCAAGGCAUAGAUAGACAAAAUGACUUUUUCAAGAUUCUCCAGCAGGCCACUGGCAAAGGUAGGGACAGUAUCUAGGUCUCCUGAGCUCCGGAGUACUGGUCUGUCCCUGUAACCUGACUUUCUUUGGGGGAAUGAUGAGUAUUUUUUCACCCAAGGGUUUGAGUCCACUUCCUUAGCAAUAGGGCCAGUGACUGAGACCACUGCUCCGGGGUCAGUGCUUGCCUCACCUGCAACAUAAGAGCUGUCUUCCCCUUUCCUUGGGCAACAACUUGUGUGGGAAAAAACAGUAGUAGUAUGGAGCAGGAAGGCCUGGAGACAUCAAGGAUGAGAUAGACUGCUUUUCCCCAUCUUCCACUUUCUGCUGGACUUGGGAGUGAAGCCUGCCUGGAAGUUGUGGUGGUCAUCCUGGCCUCUGGAAGCCGCUCCAGCUCUGCACAUCCAGAGUUUGAGGUCAUGGAGCAGAUGAAGCCUAGAAGGUGCUAUUGCGUUCACGAGCGAUGUACCUUUCUUGUAAUUGGUCAAUAAAUGCAGUAGUUUGUGGCUCA
Apteryx rowi (Okarito brown kiwi) is the source of this 2267-nucleotide long non-coding RNA. The record is from Ensembl. NCBI's taxonomy places the organism in Eukaryota, Metazoa, Chordata, Aves, Apterygiformes, Apterygidae.